Molecule: ribosomal RNA, 1045 nt
Filed under: Parageobacillus toebii
Lineage: Bacteria; Bacillati; Bacillota; Bacilli; Caryophanales; Anoxybacillaceae
Description: bacterial SSU rRNA
Rfam family: Bacterial small subunit ribosomal RNA
Source: RNAcentral
GGAGCGGCGUGCUAAUACUGCAGUCGAGCGGACCGAACGGAAGCUUGCUUCUGUUCGGUUAGCGGCGGACGGGUGAGUAACACGUGGGUAACCUGCCCGUAAGACCGGGAUAACUCCGGGAAACCGGGGCUAAUACCGGAUAACACCGAAGACCGCAUGGUCUUUGGUUGAAAGGUGGCUUUUGCUACCACUUACGGAUGGGCCCGCGGCGCAUUAGCUAGUUGGUGAGGUAACGGCUCACCAAGGCGACGAUGCGUAGCCGGCCUGAGAGGGUGACCGGCCACACUGGGACUGAGACACGGCCCAGACUCCUACGGGAGGCAGCAGUAGGGAAUCUUCCGCAAUGGACGAAAGUCUGACGGAGCGACGCCGCGUGAGCGAAGAAGGUCUUCGGAUCGUAAAGCUCUGUUGUUAGGGAAGAAGAAGUACCGUUCGAAUAGGGCGGUACGGUGACGGUACCUAACGAGAAAGCCCCGGCUAACUACGUGCCAGCAGCCGCGGUAAUACGUAGGGGGCGAGCGUUGUCCGGAAUUAUUGGGCGUAAAGCGCGCGCAGGCGGUCCCUUAAGUCUGAUGUGAAAGCCCACGGCUCAACCGUGGAGGGUCAUUGGAAACUGGGGGACUUGAGUGCAGAAGAGGAGAGCGGAAUUCCACGUGUAGCGGUGAAAUGCGUAGAGAUGUGGAGGAACACCAGUGGCGAAGGCGGCUCUCUGGUCUGUAACUGACGCUGAGGCGCGAAAGCGUGGGGAGCAAACAGGAUUAGAUACCCUGGUAGUCCACGCCGUAAACGAUGAGUGCUAAGUGUUAGAGGGGUUUUCCCUUUAGUGCUGUAGCUAACGCGUUAAGCACUCCGCCUGGGGAGUACGGCCGCAAGGCUGAAACUCAAAGGAAUUGACGGGGGCCCGCACAAGCGGUGGAACAUGUGGUUUAAUUCGAAGCAACGCGAAGAACCUUACCAGGUCUUGACUCCCCUGACACCCUGGAGACAGGGGGUUCCCCUUCGGGGGACAGGGGACAGGGGGCAUGGUUUCCCCCCUCCGGCCCGA